GCAUAUCAUAAGCGGAGGAAAAGAAACCAACAGGGAUUGCCCUAGUAACGGCGAGUGAAGCGGCAACAGCUCAAAUUUGAAAUCUGGCCUUCGGGUCCGAGUUGUAAUUUGCAGAGGGAUGCUUCGGGUGAGGUGCCUUCCAAGUCCCCUGGAACGGGGCGCCGGAGAGGGUGAGAGCCCCGUACGGUUGGCGGCCAAGCCUGUGUGAAGCUCCUUCGACGAGUCGAGUAGUUUGGGAAUGCUGCUCUAAGCGGGAGGUAGACCCCUUCUAAAGCUAAAUACCGGCCAGAGACCGAUAGCGCACAAGUAGAGUGAUCGAAAGAUGAAAAGCACUUUGAAAAGAGGGUUAAACAGCACGUGAAAUUGUUGAAAGGGAAGCGCUUGUGACCAGACGUGCGCCGGGGUGUUCAGCGGGCGUUCUCGCCCGUGCACUCGCCUCGGCGCAGGCCAGCGUCGGUUUGGGUGGGGGGAUAAAGGCGCCUGGAAUGUAGCUCCUUCGGGAGUGUUAUAGCCAGGCGUGCCAUGCCUCCGUCCGGACCGAGGUACGCGUUCUGCAAGGACGCUGGCGUAAUGGUCUCCAGCGACCCGUCUUGAAACACGGACCAAGGAGUCGAGGUUUUGCGCGAGUGUUUGGGUGAAAAACCCGCACGCGUAAUGAAAGUGAACGUAGGUGGGAGCUUAGGCGCACCACCGACCGAUCCUGAUGUUUUCGGAUGGAUUUGAGUAAGAGCGUAGGGCCUCGGACCCGAAAGAUGGUGAACUAUGCUUGGAUAGGGUGAAGCCAGAGGAAACUCUGGUGGAGGCUCGCAGCGGUUCUGACGUGCAAAUCGAUCGUCAAAUCUGAGCAUGGGGGCGAAAGACUAAUCGAAUCAUCUAGUAGCUGGUUAUCGCCGA
This 894-nucleotide ribosomal RNA is filed under the name Chloridium chloridioides var. chloridioides. Its description in RNAcentral is "LSU rRNA". It matches the Rfam family "Eukaryotic large subunit ribosomal RNA", at positions 38 to 964 of the family's 3401-position model. The record is from RNAcentral. Lineage: Eukaryota; Fungi; Ascomycota; Sordariomycetes; Chaetosphaeriales; Chaetosphaeriaceae. RNAcentral also lists the same sequence under 1 other name.